Molecule: ribosomal RNA, 497 nt
Filed under: uncultured bacterium
Lineage: Bacteria
Description: partial 16S ribosomal RNA
Rfam family: Bacterial small subunit ribosomal RNA
Source: RNAcentral
GACGAACGCUGGCGGCGUGCCUAAUACAUGCAAGUUGAGCGAUGAAGAUUGGUGCUUGCACCAAUUUGCAGAGCAGCGAACGGGUGAGUAACGCGUGGGGAAUCUGCCUUUGAGCGGGGGACAACAUUUGGAAACGAAUGCUAAUACCGCAUAAUAACUUUAAACAUAAGUUUUAAGUUUGAAAGAUGCAAUUGCAUCACUCAAAGAUGAUCCCGCGUUGUAUUAGCUAGUUGGUGAGGUAAAGGCUCACCAAGGCGAUGAUACAUAGCCGACCUGAGAGGGUGAUCGGCCACAUUGGGACUGAGACACGGCCCAAACUCCUACGGGAGGCAGCAGUAGGGAAUCGUCGGCAAUGGACGAAAGUCUGACCGAGCAACGCCGCGUGAGUGAAGAAGGUUGUCGGAUCGUAAAACUCUGUUGGUAGAGAAGAACGUUGGUGAGAGUGGAAAGCUCAUCAAGUGACGGUAACUACCCAGAAAGGGACGGCUAACUACGUG